RNAcentral lists this ribosomal RNA (497 nucleotides) under uncultured bacterium. Its description in RNAcentral is "partial 16S ribosomal RNA". It matches the Rfam family "Bacterial small subunit ribosomal RNA", at positions 28 to 507 of the family's 1533-position model. The record is from RNAcentral.
GAUGAACGCUGGCGGCGUGCCUAAUACAUGCAAGUCGAGCGAACAGACGAGGAGCUUGCUCCUCUGACGUUAGCGGCGGACGGGUGAGUAACACGUGGAUAACCUACCUAUAAGACUGGGAUAACUUCGGGAAACCGGAGCUAAUACCGGAUAAUAUAUUGAACCGCAUGGUUCAAUAGUGAAAGACGGUUUUGCUGUCAAUUAUAGAUGGAUCCGCGCCGCAUUAUCUAGUUGGUAAGGUAACGGCUUACCAAGGCAACGAUGCGUAGCCGACCUGAGAGGGUGAUCGGCCACAUUGGAAGUGAGACACGGACCAGACUCCUACGGGAGGCAGCAGUAGGGAAUCGUCCGCAAUGGGCGAAAGCCUGACGGAGCAACGCCGCGUGAGUGAUGAAGGUCUUCGGAUCGUAAAACUCUGUUAUUAGGGAAGAACAAAUGUGUAAGUAACUAUGCACGGCUUGACGGUACCUAAUCAGAAAGCCACGGCUAACUACGUG